This 747-nucleotide ribosomal RNA is filed under the name Triticum aestivum (bread wheat). RNAcentral describes it as "partial small subunit ribosomal RNA". Lineage: Eukaryota; Viridiplantae; Streptophyta; Magnoliopsida; Poales; Poaceae. The record is from RNAcentral.
AUGACAUUCAUCACUGACAUCACUACUCGGUACGGCGUGCCGCACAACAUCACCACCGACAAUGGCACGAACUUCGCCAAAGGAGCACUGGCACGUUUCUGCGCGACGCAGGGCAUCCGACUGGACUUAGCGUCCGUUGCCCACCCGCAGUCAAACGGCCAGGUCGAGCGAGCAAAUGGACUCAUCCUCUCCGGCAUCAAGCCCCGACUGGUUGUACCACUGGAGCGAUCGGCCAGCUGCUGGCUCGAUGAGCUGCCGGCUGUCCUCUGGAGUCUGCGCACUACACCCAACAAGUCAACCGGCUUUACUCCAUUCUUCCUUGUAUAUGGUGCCGAGGCUGUCAUCCCAACAGACAUCGAGUUCGACUCGCCUCGAAUCACCAUGUACACGGAGGCAGAGGCCAAGGAAGCAAGAGAAGACGACGUUGACCUACUGGAAGAAGACCGGCUGUUAGCACUCAGCCGGUCCGCCAUCUACCAGCAAGGGCUGCGCCGCUACCACAACCGUAAGGUCAAGCCAAGAUCCUUCCAAGAGGGCGACCUUGUGCUCCGGCUGAUCCAGCGAACAGCCGGCCAGCACAAGCUCUCGGCCCCUUGGGAAGGCCCCUUCAUCAUCAGCAAGGCACUAGGCAACGACUCCUACUACCUGAUCAAUGCGCAAAAACCAAGAGCACGCAAGAGAGACGACUCCGGCAAGGAGUCGGAGCGACCAUGGAACGGAAACCUCCUGAGAAGAUUUUACAGUUGA